AAAAAUAUAUGUGUCCUGCUAAUGUUUUGAGCAAUGUGGAACAUCUAUGACUGUCAGCAUCUCAAAAAAUCGGUUUUGGUGUUUUGUGACCUUUAAGCCUUCUGCCUCUCAGAAUUUACUUUAUAGAAAGUAAACAUUAUAAAUCACUUGUUUAUCUUUUUGUAGUUUCAUUGUCUUUUUGUAGUUACAGACCUCAUAUGCAGAGUAUUUGCAGCAAUUUACAUAGGAAAAAUCACACUGUACUAAGGAAUUUCAGCUGAAUAAUGUUUUCCUGCUCACCAGGUGACUGUUGUCCUACUCCUCUGUCUCUGGUGAAUGAGGCUCAGUUUCUGCUUAUUAACAGAGCCAGUGUGUGUUUUCUACAAGAAGCCAUUGCCAACAGACAUGACAGUGAUAAUGAAGAGACUUGGAGAGACACAGAGCAGCUUGUUCAGCGUUUCAGGGCCAAUCUUGUCAUCUCUGCACAGGAACCAUUUGCAGAGGAUAACUGGUCUCACCUUACAAUAGGAAACACACAGUUUCAGGUGAUUGGGAAAUGUGGCCGCUGUCAGAUGAUUGGAGUUGAUCAAAAAACAGCCACUAGGACCCAAGAACCCCUUAGGUCUCUUUCUGAAUGCAGAAGUGGAAAGGUGACUUUUGGAGUUUACUUGGCUCACCAAUCAGCAAGGAACUCCACUCACCCUGUUUUAUCUAUAGGCAGUCAUGUUAUUCCAAAGAUAUCUGAUUCGACAGAUAAAUUUUAGAGUUUUUUUUUUGUUUUGUUAGUUUCAUAUCUAAUCGGUGCUUACAGCCUCAUUUUAUAUAUUUUUAAUAAGAGUAUUUUGUUAUAUGUUUGCAUAUCAUUUGCUAUUUAAAAAAAAAACUUUAAACAUUUAACAUGAAUAAUGACUUGCAUAUAAUAGUUGUGAAUUUUAAAAAGGUGUAAUAUAAAUAAACAAAUUCCCAUUAUAACAGUUUAAAACUUUGAUCAUUAAAGUUCCAUAACUGCUGUGAUUAUUAGCUUGAGGAAAUGCGGAAAGUUUCCUGCGCAGAACAUUUCCUCAGUGAUUAUCAUGCAGUCUCCUUGCAGAGGAUGAUUACAUAUUUAGAACAAAUGCAUGUGGGUUUUGUCUAGUUU
Molecule: non-coding RNA, 1117 nt
Organism: Danio rerio (zebrafish)
Lineage: Eukaryota; Metazoa; Chordata; Actinopteri; Cypriniformes; Danionidae
Gene: mocos
Product: molybdenum cofactor sulfurase
Source: Ensembl